GUCCACGCCGUAACGAUGGAUACUAGCUGUUGGAGCAAUUUCAGUGGCUAAGCGAAGUGAUAAGUAUCCCACCUGGGAGUACGUUCGCAAGAAUGAACUCAAAGGAAUUGACGGGGCCCGCACAAGCGGUGGAGCAUGUGGUUAAUUCGAUGAUACGCGAGGAACCUUACCAAGGCUUAAAUGUAGAUUGACAGAUUUGGAAACAGAUUUUCUUCGGACAAUUUACAAGGUGCUGCAUGGUUGUCGU
RNAcentral lists this ribosomal RNA (247 nucleotides) under uncultured bacterium. RNAcentral describes it as "partial 16S ribosomal RNA". It matches the Rfam family "Bacterial small subunit ribosomal RNA", at positions 793 to 1055 of the family's 1533-position model. The record is from RNAcentral.